GAUGAACGCUGGCGGCGUGCCUAAUACAUGCAAGUCGAGCGAACAGACGAGGAGCUUGCUCCUCUGACGUUAGCGGCGGACGGGUGAGUAACACGUGGGUAACCUACCUAUAAGACUGGGAUAACUUCGGGAAACCGGAGCUAAUACCGGAUAAUAUAUUGAACCGCAUGGUUCAAUAGUGAAAGACGGUUUUGCUGUCACUUAUAGAUGGAUCCGCGCCGCAUUAGCUAGUUGGUAAGGUAACGGCUUACCAAGGCAACGAUGCGUAGCCGACCUGAGAGGGUGAUCGGCCACCCUGGACCUGGGCCCCGGUCCAGCCCCCUACGGGAGGCAGCGGUGGGGAUUCUUCCGCAAUGGGCGAAAGCUUGCCGGGGCACCGCCGGGUGGUUGAUGAGGUCCUUCGAUCCGUAAACCCUUUUUAUUGGGAAAGACCAAAUGUGUAAGUACCUAUGCCCGUUUUGCCGGUACCUAUCAGAAAGCCACGGCUAACUACGUG
Molecule: ribosomal RNA, 496 nt
Filed under: uncultured bacterium
Lineage: Bacteria
Description: partial 16S ribosomal RNA
Rfam family: Bacterial small subunit ribosomal RNA
Source: RNAcentral